Molecule: ribosomal RNA, 1525 nt
Filed under: Lactiplantibacillus plantarum
Lineage: Bacteria; Bacillati; Bacillota; Bacilli; Lactobacillales; Lactobacillaceae
Description: Lactobacillus plantarum partial 16S ribosomal RNA
Rfam family: Bacterial small subunit ribosomal RNA
Source: RNAcentral
CUGGCUCAGGACGAACGCUGGCGGCGUGCCUAAUACAUGCAAGUCGAACGAACUCUGGUAUUGAUUGGUGCUUGCAUCAUGAUUUACAUUUGAGUGAGUGGCGAACUGGUGAGUAACACGUGGGAAACCUGCCCAGAAGCGGGGGAUAACACCUGGAAACAGAUGCUAAUACCGCAUAACAACUUGGACCGCAUGGUCCGAGCUUGAAAGAUGGCUUCGGCUAUCACUUUUGGAUGGUCCCGCGGCGUAUUAGCUAGAUGGUGGGGUAACGGCUCACCAUGGCAAUGAUACGUAGCCGACCUGAGAGGGUAAUCGGCCACAUUGGGACUGAGACACGGCCCAAACUCCUACGGGAGGCAGCAGUAGGGAAUCUUCCACAAUGGACGAAAGUCUGAUGGAGCAACGCCGCGUGAGUGAAGAAGGGUUUCGGCUCGUAAAACUCUGUUGUUAAAGAAGAACAUAUCUGAGAGUAACUGUUCAGGUAUUGACGGUAUUUAACCAGAAAGCCACGGCUAACUACGUGCCAGCAGCCGCGGUAAUACGUAGGUGGCAAGCGUUGUCCGGAUUUAUUGGGCGUAAAGCGAGCGCAGGCGGUUUUUUAAGUCUGAUGUGAAAGCCUUCGGCUCAACCGAAGAAGUGCAUCGGAAACUGGGAAACUUGAGUGCAGAAGAGGACAGUGGAACUCCAUGUGUAGCGGUGAAAUGCGUAGAUAUAUGGAAGAACACCAGUGGCGAAGGCGGCUGUCUGGUCUGUAACUGACGCUGAGGCUCGAAAGUAUGGGUAGCAAACAGGAUUAGAUACCCUGGUAGUCCAUACCGUAAACGAUGAAUGCUAAGUGUUGGAGGGUUUCCGCCCUUCAGUGCUGCAGCUAACGCAUUAAGCAUUCCGCCUGGGGAGUACGGCCGCAAGGCUGAAACUCAAAGGAAUUGACGGGGGCCCGCACAAGCGGUGGAGCAUGUGGUUUAAUUCGAAGCUACGCGAAGAACCUUACCAGGUCUUGACAUACUAUGCAAAUCUAAGAGAUUAGACGUUCCCUUCGGGGACAUGGAUACAGGUGGUGCAUGGUUGUCGUCAGCUCGUGUCGUGAGAUGUUGGGUUAAGUCCCGCAACGAGCGCAACCCUUAUUAUCAGUUGCCAGCAUUAAGUUGGGCACUCUGGUGAGACUGCCGGUGACAAACCGGAGGAAGGUGGGGAUGACGUCAAAUCAUCAUGCCCCUUAUGACCUGGGCUACACACGUGCUACAAUGGAUGGUACAACGAGUUGCGAACUCGCGAGAGUAAGCUAAUCUCUUAAAGCCAUUCUCAGUUCGGAUUGUAGGCUGCAACUCGCCUACAUGAAGUCGGAAUCGCUAGUAAUCGCGGAUCAGCAUGCCGCGGUGAAUACGUUCCCGGGCCUUGUACACACCGCCCGUCACACCAUGAGAGUUUGUAACACCCAAAGUCGGUGGGGUAACCUUUUAGGAACCAGCCGCCUAAGGUGGGACAGAUGAUUAGGGUGAAGUCGUAACAAGGGUAACCGUAAGGG